GCUCUCCAAUCAGCAUCCUCUGCUGCUGACUCUGCUACUGUAUGAGGGCAUUGACUGGAGGAGGAGCAUAGAAGACACAUUUUGUCUCCUCAGUCACCCUGUAGGCCUUGCAAAUAUAUUUGAAGGGUUCAGUUCAAGCUGUAUUUGUUUUCUGGAGAUGACGUUAACAAUGCUACUCUACAGAGUUCUUUGGCUCAGCAUCCUAACAGGUGUUUGCACAGGACAGAAAAUUACUUCAGACAGAACUGAAGUGUUCCCAGAGGAAGGAGUGAAUGUUAGCUUGUCCUGUAGCUACUCCUCUGCAUAUUCUCUCCAGUGGUAUGUCCAGUAUCCCAGAUCAGCUCCACAGUUCCUCCUGCUUGUGCUGCACUCCACUGGGAAAGACCCGAGCCCAGGCAAACAUCCUCGCCUGAUGGGGAAACUAAACCAAGAGAAAACUCAAGUGUUUCUGCAGAUCUCCUCUGUUCAAGUCUCUGACUCUGCGCUGUACUACUGUGCUCUGACGCCCACAGUGACACGAAACCACAGACUGCAAUACAAAAACCUGACUGACAGCGAGGGAUUGUAUUGCUCUGUUGUCUGAAAUGCAGGGACAAGGAACUCUAACUAAAAACAAUUAAUUUCUCCUAUAGAAUUACAGUAAACAAAUCUUAAGGGGCCAUACACUGUAUCUACAAAUGUCUUUUAUGCAAACAAUAACUCAUAACUCUAUGAUCAACAAUGCAUGUGUGAUCACUCCAUUAAUUUGUUAAUUCAUCAUGUUCAUAAUAAUAAUAACACCAAGGUAACAAAAACCCAAUAACAUUUUAGAGGCAUAUAACAAUUAAAUCUGUAUGACAUACAAAAUUAAAAUUAAAACAUGCGGAUGAAUCAAAAUAUAAAAUGUUCUUUAAUCUGUUUCCAGACCACGUUAUCCAUAUACCUACUGUACAUGCAUUUUAUAUAAUGUGAAAUAAUAUCUCUUUUCAUUUUCUAGUGUGAAAUGUGGGAAUGAAAAUCAGCUCCUCGGCAUCUCAUCAGUACUGUGAGGCAAAAACAGACUUCAGCUGUAGAUCCUCGUCUGUCUUCAAAG
Alosa sapidissima (American shad) is the source of this 1072-nucleotide non-coding RNA. NCBI's taxonomy places the organism in Eukaryota, Metazoa, Chordata, Actinopteri, Clupeiformes, Clupeidae. The record is from the annotation of a RefSeq genome assembly.